RNAcentral lists this ribosomal RNA (1358 nucleotides) under Kandleria vitulina. RNAcentral's name for it is "bacterial LSU rRNA". It matches the Rfam family "Bacterial large subunit ribosomal RNA", at positions 1541 to 2925 of the family's 2925-position model. The record is from RNAcentral. Lineage: Bacteria; Bacillati; Bacillota; Erysipelotrichia; Erysipelotrichales; Coprobacillaceae.
GGCGCGACGCAUACGGAAAGCUGCGGCAAGUACGGAAAAGCUCUGGGACGUCUUCCAGGAAAAGCUUCUAGCAUAUCGAGAUGGGCCCGUACCGAAAAUGGACACACAUGGGCAAGGAGAGGAUCCUGAGGUGAGCGAGAGAACUAUAGCUAAGGAACUCUGCAAAAUGACCCCGUAACCUAGGGAGAAGGGGUGCUCGUCAGAGACGAGCCGCAGAAAAACGGCCCAAGCGACUGUUUACCAAAAACACAGCUCUCUGCGAAGGCGCAAGCCGAAGUAUAGGGGGUGACGCCUGCCCGGUGCUGGAAGGUCAAGGGGAGUGGUCAGCGCAAGCGAAGCCAUGAUCCGAAGCCCCAGUAAACGGCGGCCGUAACUAUAACGGUCCUAAGGUAGCGAAAUUCCUUGUCAGGUAAGUUCUGACCCGCACGAAAGGCGUAACGAUUUGGGCGCUGUCUCGGCUGUAGACUCGGUGAAGUCUUAGUACCUGUGAAGAUGCAGGUUGCCCGCGACUAGACGGAAAGACCCCAUGGAGCUUCACUGCAGGUUGACAUUGGGCCUGGGUGCAUGAUGUACAGGAUAGGUGGGAGGCAGAGAGACGGGUUCGCCAGGAUCCGAGGAGCCGCCGUUGGGAUACCACCCUUCAUGCAUCUAGGUUCUAACCGGAGGCCAUGAACUGGCCACGGGACAGUGUCAGUCGGGCAGUUUGACUGGGGCGGUCGCCUCCCAAAGAGUAACGGAGGCGCCCAAAGAUACCCUCAGCGUGGAUGGAAACCACGCAUCGAGUGCAAAGGCAUAAGGGUGUCUGACUGCGAGACAUACAGGUCGAGCAGGGACGAAAGUCGGGCUUAGUGAUCCGGCGGUUCCGAAUGGAAGGGCCGUCGCUCAACGGAUAAAAGCUACCCUGGGGAUAACAGGCUGAUCUCCCCCAAGAGUUCACAUCGACGGGGAGGUUUGGCACCUCGAUGUCGGCUCAUCGCAUCCUGGAGCUGAAGUCGGUUCCAAGGGUUGGGCUGUUCGCCCAUUAAAGCGGUACGCGAGCUGGGUUCAGAACGUCGUGAGACAGUUCGGUCCCUAUCUGUCGUGGGCGCAGGAGGUCUGAGGAGAGCUGCCCUCAGUACGAGAGGACCGGGGUGGACGGACCGAUGGUGCACCAGUUGUCACGCCAGUGGCACAGCUGGGUAGCCAAGUCCGGAAGGGAUAAGCGCUGAAGGCAUCUAAGCGCGAAGCCCCCUCCAAGAUGAGACCUCCCAUUGCGCAAGCAAGUAAGACCCCUCGAAGACGACGAGGUUGAUAGACCGGGAGUGCAAGCAUGGCGACAUGUUCAGCGGACCGGCACUAAUAGGUCGAGGACUUGACCG